RNAcentral lists this long non-coding RNA (751 nucleotides) under Brassica rapa (field mustard). Its description in RNAcentral is "long non-coding RNA (BRAP_LNC008790)". The record is from RNAcentral. Lineage: Eukaryota; Viridiplantae; Streptophyta; Magnoliopsida; Brassicales; Brassicaceae.
UCUUCAUAGUUUUAAAAGCUUUAUAGUUUCAAGGAUUGACUAGAUUAUUUAAUUCUACAGAUUGCCUAUUAUAUAAAGGCUUGCUUUGUAUUGUUUUAUUUCAUUCAACCCUUUUAAUAAAAAUCUACUUUUUAAAUUUGUUGAAUCCUUUGUUCUUUGGAACAUCGUAAUGCUACGAGAGUGAUCUCCGUAAGCACGGUCUUGUUCACUAGUGGGGCUGCCUCUCACGGACUAAGACCAACCAACAAGUAUUUGGCCUUCCGCAGCCUUAUACUGAAGAACCAUCGAUCCACCUUUCCUUUGAUCCAUCUUUGGGUCAAAGCUUAUCUUUUUCACCAACCUUUGAGUGCAUUUCUUGGGAGAUUUUCUAUUAGUUGGUAUCAGAGCACACUUGAGGGUUCGGUGUUCACUUCUGUCAUUCACCAUUCUCAUCUUUCCAUCUUCUACAAAAAAAAAAAAAAAAAUCCACGAAAAAACAAGAGAUCAUUCCAUCUGAAGUUAAACCGAGACUGCUCCUCCAUCUCUCGUAAUGGCUCUAGGAGAUUGCUUCUCCAAAAGCAACCUGUUUUGAUCACUAGUGGGGCUGCCUCUCACGGUCACAGGUUCUAAACAUUAUGUCGGAUUUGAGGGCAAAUCCUUUUGAAGGAGGAGGGGAUGAUGUGACCUUGUUCAGCAACAAGCCAAUGUCGUAUAAUAUAUCAAUCUGACGGCAAUUCAGAGACCGUCGAUCAUGCAAAAAGAUACAACCAGC